This 253-nucleotide ribosomal RNA is filed under the name uncultured bacterium. RNAcentral describes it as "partial 16S ribosomal RNA". It matches the Rfam family "Bacterial small subunit ribosomal RNA", at positions 524 to 776 of the family's 1533-position model. The record is from RNAcentral.
UACGGAGGGUGCAAGCGUUGUCCGGAUUUAUUGGGUUUAAAGGGUGCGUAGGUGGCCUUAUAAGUCAGCGGUGAAAGUCUGCAGCUUAACUGUAGAACUGCCAUUGAUACUGUAAGGCUUGAGUACUGAUGAGGUAGGCGGAAUUGAUAGUGUAGCGGUGAAAUGCAUAGAUAUUAUCAAGAACACCGAUUGCGAAGGCAGCUUACUAAGGAGUUACUGACGCUGAGGCACGAAAGCGUGGGGAUCAAACAGG